AUUCUAGAGCUAAUACAUGCUGUUAAGCCUGACUUACGAAGGGCUGUAUUUAUUAGAUAACAGACCAAUAUUCCUCGUGUCUAUUGUGGUGAAUCAUAGUAACUGAUCGGAUCGCAUGGGCUUGCCCGCGACAAACCAUUCAAGUUUCUGCCCCAUCAGCUUUCGAUGGUAGUGUAUUGGACUACCAUGGCUUUUACGGGUAACGGAGGAUUAGGGUUCGAUUCCGGAGAGGGAGCCUGAGAAACGGCUACCACAUCUAAGGAAGGCAGCAGGCGCGUAAAUUACCCAAUCCUAAUUCAGGGAGGUAGUG
RNAcentral lists this ribosomal RNA (310 nucleotides) under uncultured Spirotrichea. RNAcentral's name for it is "SSU rRNA". It matches the Rfam family "Eukaryotic small subunit ribosomal RNA", at positions 155 to 469 of the family's 1831-position model. Lineage: Eukaryota; Ciliophora; Spirotrichea. The record is from RNAcentral.